UACGUAGGGUGCGAGCGUUAAUCGGAAUUACUGGGCGUAAAGCGUGCGCAGGCGGUUAUGUAAGACAGGUGUGAAAUCCCCGGGCUUAACCUGGGAACUGCAUUUGUGACUGCAUAGCUAGAGUACGGUAGAGGGGGAUGGAAUUCCGCGUGUAGCAGUGAAAUGCGUAGAGAUGUGGAGGAACACCGAUGGCGAAGGCAGCCCCCUGGGUUAACACUGACGCUCAGGCACGAAAGCGUGGGGAGCAAACAGG
Molecule: ribosomal RNA, 253 nt
Filed under: uncultured bacterium
Lineage: Bacteria
Description: partial 16S ribosomal RNA
Rfam family: Bacterial small subunit ribosomal RNA
Source: RNAcentral